This 203-nucleotide ribosomal RNA is filed under the name uncultured bacterium. RNAcentral describes it as "partial 16S ribosomal RNA". It matches the Rfam family "Bacterial small subunit ribosomal RNA", at positions 328 to 538 of the family's 1533-position model. The record is from RNAcentral.
ACGCUCGACACCUACGGGAGGCAGCAGUUGGGAAUAUUGGACAAUGGAGGAAACUCUGAUCCAGUGACGCCGCGUGAAGGAAGAAGGUCUUCGGAUUGUAAACUUAUUUUGUCAGGGAAGAAAAAAUGACUGUACCUGAAGAAAAAGCACCGGCUAACUACGUGCCAACAGCCGCGGUAAUCUGAGCGGGCGUGGCGAAGGCG